This is a long non-coding RNA of Ailuropoda melanoleuca (giant panda), 342 nucleotides long. RefSeq lists it as uncharacterized. NCBI's taxonomy places the organism in Eukaryota, Metazoa, Chordata, Mammalia, Carnivora, Ursidae. The record is from RefSeq and is a predicted model, not a curated record. The transcript is spliced from 3 exons.
UUCCAGUCAUUUUAUCUUGGAGACAAAAAGGAAGAUAUAAUCUGAGAAUUUAGGCUUACUUACUGAGAGCAUACAUUUACUACAUUUGAAGAAAAUAUUUGAAAAUGUCUUUAAACCACUGAUCAAGAAGGAAGACCAACAUAAAGGAAAAUACAGAAAGGAAACAAUGGAUGUCUUUAUCUGGAUUUAGUAUCACAUUAUGCUGGCCUCACAGAUUACACAUGAGCCUGGCCCAGGAUUUGGAAUCUCAUGGACCUGGAAAAGCCUCAGGCUCUUACGCAACCCCAGAAGAUAAGCCAACAGAUCAAUAAUGAUGAACACAAACUCCCACAGGGCCUUCAC